GACAGCUCAGUGUUUGCCCGGACAAAACGAGCCCUAGGAGGCCGCCCAGCACAAUGAUGGUCCAGAGUGUUCGACGUCUCCUUUCGCAACCCCGAGCGCGAAGCCAUCCGUCCCCGGCCACGGCGCCGCCCGGCGCGGCCUCGCGUGGAGCGGCGAGCCUUGAGGAAAUGUUUGUAGUGCAACUGACAUGGGCAAUAAACAAAUAAAUGAAUGGAAGGAGCGGCGGCAAACACACUGCUGCACCCCUGGAAAGCGACACGGGUGCUGGUGCCCACAGCAAUUCCUCAUCCCACUUUGUCAAGGAUGGGAGCUGAGAGCUGAAAUUUGCUCCUCCCAGCAGUGCCUGCUGCCAAUCUCUGAGGGACAUCAGCAAAACUCUCUUUCAUUUCAUUUUAAUAAAUGAAGUAUAAUUCUUCCUAUGCAAAA
This is a long non-coding RNA of Melospiza melodia melodia, 426 nucleotides long. RefSeq lists it as uncharacterized. The transcript is spliced from 3 exons. The record is from RefSeq and is a predicted model, not a curated record. Lineage: Eukaryota; Metazoa; Chordata; Aves; Passeriformes; Passerellidae.